Molecule: long non-coding RNA, 1691 nt
Organism: Limulus polyphemus (Atlantic horseshoe crab)
Lineage: Eukaryota; Metazoa; Arthropoda; Merostomata; Xiphosura; Limulidae
Exons: 5
Source: RefSeq, a predicted model, not a curated record
AGUUAAGUUGGUUUUGGACAUAUUUUCAAAGUCUGAGUUGCUUAUAUUUCUAACCGAAAUCUAGCAACCCCAAAUUAACUUCAAUAAAGAGGUAACGUUAAGGAAAGUUUUUAAAACACAGAACGAAAAUUUAUUUCCUUGAACAAACAAAACUCUCCACUCGACUGCUUUCAAACAAACUGGAUGAUACAGGUAUUUUACUUCAAAAUCUCCCAGUGGCUUGGUUCCUAGACGACUCAGAAGUUUUGUUAUCACCAUUAUGUCGAGUGACGUUUCUUUGUCAGACAUCCUGCCAUUGCAUAAGUAUGAAUAUUGGAAAGUUCCUGGCUGUCUCCUUAAUGGUCUUGUAUCCAAGUAUUUUGUUCAGGUUAGUAAAUUGACCUUUAGUUUAAUUCUAACAAAUAUCAUUUAGUUGUCAUAAGUAUGAAUAUUGGACAUUAAUGGCCAUCCCUACGUACCUGAAAGAUUCCUGGCUGUCUCCUUAAUGGUCUUGUAUCCAAGUAUUUUGUUCAGGUUAGUAAAUUGACCUUUAGUUUAAUUCUAACAAAUAUCAUUUAGUUGUCAUAAGUAUGAAUAUUGGACAUUAAUGGCCAUCCUUACGUACCUGAAAGAUUCCUGGUUGUCUCCUUAAUGGUCUUGUAUCCAAGUAUUUUGUUCAGCUCCAUGUACCACAGUUUGAGAAUCACAUCUACUUACCACCAAGCCAAUUCCACCUUCAUUCCUACUCAGAACUAGUUCUUCUCGCCAAUUCUGGAGUUCCACAUCAUUGAUAACUUUCUCCGGUUUGUCUAAAGAUGGUCAGAAGUAUGAAAAUUAAUUACAACUUCCUUUUUUUUUCUAACUAGAUAUUAUCGUUAGUGUUAUGCAUCCAUAAAGUGAAAUUAGUGUGACAUUAAAAGUACACUUCAAUACUAUACUAAAGUGUUAUUUUCACAGGGUAUGAUUAAAGAAGACACUUCAAUACUAUACUAAAGUGUUAUUUUCACAGGGUAUGAUUAAAGAAGACACUUCAAUACUAUACUAAAGUGUUAUUUUUCACAGGGUAUGAUUAAAGAAGACACUUCAAUACUAUACUAAAGUGUUAUUUUUCACAGGGUAUGAUUAAAGAAGACACUUCAAUACUAUACUAAAGUGUUAUUUUCACAGGGUAUGAUUAAAGAAGACACUUCAAUACUAUACUAAAGUGUUAUUUUUCACAGGGUAUGAUUAAAGAAGAUGUAGUAACAAAAUUUUCUGAGACAAAGAUCUAACAUCUAUUGUAAAAUCAAAACCUGCAAUGUUUCAGCCGGAGGAAACCCUUGCACCUUAAGGCAACUGAGAGUCCCACGAGGGCGGAACUCGGAUUCCAAUUAACUGUUUGUUAUGGAAUGAACAAUUGGAAAACGUCCUGCAGAACCAAGAUGAAAGGUUUGUGCCACAAUUCCUAAGAUUUUCCCUCUUCCAAGAUGCCAUAAGCCGGUCAUGCUAGACACAGUGUGUCCUCUUUAAAUUCUUCAUUCAGUUUCUAGGUUCAUUGCCUAACUCGUUUUUUGCCGGUGGCAUGUUGACUUUAACAAAAAUGUUGUGUGGUAUAACUGUGUUUUUGUAACUUCUUUGGCCACUACAUUUGCUUGUUGGAUAACUUAAUCUUGCUGCAGUGUAAACAGUUCGUAACUUUUUCUUCUCUUAAGGAUAUGAUUAAAUAAUAUUUA